Long non-coding RNA from Cydia splendana, 212 nucleotides. RefSeq lists it as uncharacterized. Lineage: Eukaryota; Metazoa; Arthropoda; Insecta; Lepidoptera; Tortricidae. The record is from RefSeq and is a predicted model, not a curated record. The transcript has 2 exons.
AUUGUCUAUUGAGUUCGGGCGAUUUUCCGCAACUCGACGUCUUGCGCCUAUUUUGCGUGAUAGGGGAAGAAGGAGGGUGGGCUAGUCCUGCCAGCCCAGCUCCUCGAGGAAUCCUAUCAAACCUUUGAUGUUGAGUAGGACCUCGGGGAGGUCUCUCGGGGAUCGGAGAUGUUUUGCCCUGUAUGGGGCCAAUCCGCUUCAUUCCAACACCA